Molecule: ribosomal RNA, 253 nt
Filed under: uncultured bacterium
Lineage: Bacteria
Description: partial 16S ribosomal RNA
Rfam family: Bacterial small subunit ribosomal RNA
Source: RNAcentral
UACAGGGGGGGCAAGCGUUGUUCGGAAUUACUGGGCGUAAAGGGUUCGUAGGUGGCCAACUAAGUCAGACGUGAAAUCCCUCAGCUUAACUGGGGAACUGCGUCUGAGACUGGAUGGCUUGAGUGCAGGAGAGGAACGCGGAAUUCCAGGUGUAGCGGUGAAAUGCGUAGAUAUCUGGAGGAACACCGGUGGCGAAGGCGGCAUCCUGGACCAACACUGACGCUGAGGAGCGAAAGCCAGGGGAGCAAACGGG